CGGACAGUGCCUGGUGGGUAGUUUGACUGGGGCGGUCUCCUCCCAAAGAGUAACGGAGGAGCACGAAGGUGGGCUAAUCACGGUUGGACAUCGUGAGGUUAGUGCAAUGGCAUAAGCCCGCUUGACUGCGAGAAUGACAAUUCGAGCAGGUGCGAAAGCAGGUCAUAGUGAUCCGGUGGUUCUGAAUGGAAGGGCCAUCGCUCAACGGAUAAAAGGUACUCCGGGGAUAACAGGCUGAUACCGCCCAAGAGUUCAUAUCGACGGCGGUGUUUGGCACCUCGAUGUCGGCUCAUCACAUCCUGGGGCUGAAGUCGGUCCCAAGGGUAUGGCUGUUCGCCAUUUAAAGUGGUACGCGAGCUGGGUUUAGAACGUCGUGAGACAGUUCGGUCCCUAUCUGCCGUGGGCGUUGGAAGAUUGAAGGGGGCUGCUCCUAGUACGAGAGGACCGGAGUGGACGAACCUCUGGUGUUCGGGUUGUGUCGCCAGACGCAUUGCCCGGUAGCUAAGUUCGGAAU
Molecule: ribosomal RNA, 514 nt
Filed under: Vibrio parahaemolyticus
Lineage: Bacteria; Pseudomonadati; Pseudomonadota; Gammaproteobacteria; Vibrionales; Vibrionaceae
Description: partial 23S ribosomal RNA
Rfam family: Bacterial large subunit ribosomal RNA
Source: RNAcentral